Molecule: long non-coding RNA, 889 nt
Filed under: Hordeum vulgare
Lineage: Eukaryota; Viridiplantae; Streptophyta; Magnoliopsida; Poales; Poaceae
Description: long non-coding RNA (HVUL_LNC010317)
Source: RNAcentral
CGGAAGGUACUGAUUGUUGGGAUCCCGUUGUCUUGUUCAUCCAGAAUUAAUCUACUGGGACAAGAACGUAGAGUACUAAUAAUGCUCAACUAGAGCUUAUUUUGGCAUGCUGGUUGGUUGGUAGUAACACGUACACUUGCCGAAUCCAUAAGGGGAUCUCCAUAGAGAACGGACGGAGAAUCUUGCAUGUUCGUAAAUCGUACGUUUCUCAGAAGAAGAAGAAUCGUAUACGCUACUUCUCCCCGACAAGAAUUAUUUAGAUACGGAGGAAGUACGUAUGGAGCUGCAACCUAGUCCUAGUACAGCGCAAGGAAAAUAAAAAAGAUAGAGCAAUUCAUACCGACUUAAUGAUCUCUACUAGGAACAAACGCCUGAAGAGAGUAAUCUGGAGAGGAACGCAGCUCGAGACGGAGGAGGUUGAGGAAGAAAAAGAAAAAAACAGUGGAAAGGCCACCGAAUGCCCAAGGUAGAAGAGGAAGAGGAAGAGGAAGAGGGGAAGAAGCCAAGAAGUCACCUUUCCCGCUCCGUGGCUGCUUCCUCCUCGUUGUUUUGAACCACUCUUCUCCAGGAGGGAGGCGCAACAAACACCACAACCUUGCCGUCUCCCGCAGUUGCAGCUCCAGUUCUGGGAAGUUCCACGCCGGCCCCCGCGCUCACAACUAGUCAGGUCAGGUCAAGCCUCAAGCGGAGGAGUAGUAUAUUGUAUAUACACAACACAGUGGAGGGGGGAGAGGAAGAGGAGGAGGAGAGUUGACUGGUGGUAGGAAGGAAGGUUUAAUUGCCCGGAUCCCCGGUCUGAACGGGGUUGCGCGCAGCGGGGAAGACUUUGGCCGCGCGCUGCCAGCGGAGGGCGAUAGCGAGAGAGAGAAGAGACAACUCGGGGAGGAAG